CGGUGUUUAACUGGCGUGAUGUGGGACGUCCUACCGGUGGGCUUAGCCUCGCGAGGGGGGGCCCAACUAAUAUCCCGUCGCGGUGCUCUUUACUGAGUGUCGAGUCGGGCCGGUACGUUUACUUUGAACAAAUUAGAGUGCUUAAAGCAGGCUAUCCUCGCCUGAAUACUGCGUGCAUGGAAUAAUGGAAUAGGACCUCGGUUCUAUUUUGUUGGUUUUCGGAACCCCGAGGUAAUGAUUAAUAGGGACAGAUGGGGGCAUUCGUAUUGCGACGUUAGAGGUGAAAUUCUUGGAUCGUCGCAAGACGGACAGAAGCGAAAGCAUUUGCCAAAAAUGUUUUCAUUAAUCAAGAACGAAAGUUAGAGGUUCGAAGGCGAUCAGAUACCGCCCUAGUUCUAACCAUAAACGAUGCCAGCUAGCGAUCCGCCGAAGUUCCUCCGAUGACUCGGCGGGCAGCUUCCGGGAAACCAAAGCUUUUGGGUUCCGGGGGAAGUAUGGUUGCAAAGCUGAAACUUAAAGGAAUUGACGGAAGGGCACCACCAGGAGUGGGAGCCUGCGGCUUAAUUUGACUCAACACGGGAAACCUCACCAGGCCCAGACACCGGAAGGAUUGACAGAUUGAUAGCUCUUUCUUGAUUCGGUGGGUGGUGGUGCAUGGCCGUUCUUAGUUGGUGGAGCGAUUUGUCUGGUUAAUUCCGAUAACGAACGAGACUCUAGCCUGCUAAAUAGGCGUACCUUAUGGUAUCGCGAAGGCCCCCGGCUUCGGCCGGUGGGUUUUUACUACCAACGUACAAACAAAUCUUCUUAGAGGGACAGGCGG
RNAcentral lists this ribosomal RNA (820 nucleotides) under uncultured eukaryote. RNAcentral describes it as "SSU rRNA". It matches the Rfam family "Eukaryotic small subunit ribosomal RNA", at positions 629 to 1426 of the family's 1831-position model. The record is from RNAcentral.